RNAcentral lists this ribosomal RNA (173 nucleotides) under Schistura sp. CBM:ZF:12489. RNAcentral's name for it is "partial 12S rRNA". The record is from RNAcentral. Lineage: Eukaryota; Metazoa; Chordata; Actinopteri; Cypriniformes; Nemacheilidae.
CACCGCGGUUAUACGAGAGGCCCUAGUUGAUGAACACGGCGUAAAGGGUGGUUAAGGAAGGCAGAUAUUAAAGCCAAAGGGCCUCUUGGCCGUCAUACGCUCCUGAGCAUCCGAAGCCCAAUGAACGAAAGUAGCUUUAACCCAGCCCACCCGACUCCACGAAAACUGAGAAA